Molecule: long non-coding RNA, 420 nt
Filed under: Cavia porcellus (domestic guinea pig)
Lineage: Eukaryota; Metazoa; Chordata; Mammalia; Rodentia; Caviidae
Description: lncRNA (ENSCPOG00000030147.1)
Source: RNAcentral
GGAGGGGGCGAUGGCACCGGGUCGUCCCCAGCAAGGGAACGAUCCCGGGCGAUGUGCGCACGCUCCCCGGGUUUGUUAGUUGAUUCCGUCGAAAAGUUUGCUAUUUAUAGGUCACACGCGGCCGCCGGGCGAAGGGAGAGCGGCCUGUCUCAGUGGCGUCCCGUGAUCGUUUUGUUUUGUUUCUGCCCUCGCGCGCGAGAAGACAGGGGGAGCCCCGAAACCAGCCCUCGCCGGAGCGGGAAGAGCGCCGCGCGCCGAGACCCCAGCGGACAACUGACCGGUUCAUCAGUGAACAAUAGUCAGCUAUGAAGAUGUAAGGGAAAAGUCCUCGGCUAACAUUGUCGCAGCUUGAAAGGUAAGCCCUUCUCCACGUGGUUGGGAAACCCAUCUAGCAUGAUGUCGUGUGAUGCCCACUGGACU